GGUGGAAAGAUUUAUCGGUGCAGGAUGGGCCCGCGGCCUAUCAGCUUGUUGGUGGGGUAAUGGCCUACCAAGGCGACGACGGGUAGCCGACCUGAGAGGGUGACCGGCCACACUGGGACUGAGACACGGCCCAGACUCCUACGGGAGGCAGCAGUGGGGAAUAUUGCACAAUGGGCGAAAGCCUGAUGCAGCGACGCCGCGUGAGGGAUGACGGCCUUCGGGUUGUAAACCUCUUUCAGCAGGGACGAAGCGCAAGUGACGGUACCUGCAGAAGAAGCACCGGCUAACUACGUGCCAGCAGCCGCGGUAAUACGUAGGGUGCAAGCGUUGUCCGGAAUUACUGGGCGUAAAGAGUUCGUAGGCGGUUUGUCGCGUCGUUUGUGAAAACCAGCAGCUCAACUGCUGGCUUGCAGGCGAUACGGGCAGACUUGAGUACUGCAGGGGAGACUGGAAUUCCUGGUGUAGCGGUG
Molecule: ribosomal RNA, 470 nt
Filed under: Rhodococcus sp. (in: high G+C Gram-positive bacteria)
Lineage: Bacteria; Bacillati; Actinomycetota; Actinomycetes; Mycobacteriales; Nocardiaceae
Description: bacterial SSU rRNA
Rfam family: Bacterial small subunit ribosomal RNA
Source: RNAcentral